UGAAGGUUGGACGAGGGAUGAGCUGUCUCCUUUACGUAAUUUGAAUUUAACUUUUGAGUGAAAAGGCUCAAAUUAUUUAGUGGGACGAUAAGACCCUAUAAAACUUUAUAUAAGUUUAAUUUGGCUUACAAUUUGAGUGAAAAGUAGCUUUAUUAGGCUUAUAUUUCGUUGGGGAGAUGUAGAUAUAAUGUGUAACUGUCUGUUUAAUUUAAUAAUUAUAAUUAGUGUGUGAUCCUUCUUUGUGGAUUAAAAGUAUAAGUUACUUUAGGGAUAACAGCGUGAUUUUCUUUGAGAGUUCUUAUCGACAAGAGUAGUUGCGACCUCGAUGUUGAAUUAAAAUUUCAGUUAGGUGUAGCCGUCUAGCUGGUAGGUCUGUUCGACCUUUAAAAUUUUACAUGAUUUGAGUUCAAACCGGUGUGAGCCAGGUUGGUUUCUAUCUAAA
Molecule: ribosomal RNA, 442 nt
Filed under: Macrobrachium superbum
Lineage: Eukaryota; Metazoa; Arthropoda; Malacostraca; Decapoda; Palaemonidae
Description: partial 16S ribosomal RNA
Rfam family: Bacterial large subunit ribosomal RNA
Source: RNAcentral